GCGGUAUGCUUAACACAUGCAAGUCGAACGGUAGCAGGCCUUCGGGCGCUGACGAGUGGCGGACGGGUGAGUAAUGCAUAGGAAUCUGCCUAUUAGUGGGGGAUAACGUGGGGAAACUCACGCUAAUACCGCAUACGACCUACGGGUGAAAGCUGGGGACCUUCGGGCCUGGCGCUAAUAGAUGAGCCUAUGUUGGAUUAGCUAGUUGGUAGGGUAAAGGCCUACCAAGGCGACGAUCCAUAGCUGGUCUGAGAGGAUGAUCAGCCACACUGGGACUGAGACACGGCCCAGACUCCUACGGGAGGCAGCAGUGGGGAAUAUUGGACAAUGGGCGAAAGCCUGAUCCAGCAAUACCGCGUGUGUGAAGAAGCCUGAGGGUUGUAAAGCACUUUCAAUGGGAAGGAAUACCUACCGGUUAAUACCCGGUAGACUGACAUUACCCAUACAAGAAGCACCGGCUAACUCCGUGCCA
This 472-nucleotide ribosomal RNA is filed under the name uncultured Methylomonas sp. RNAcentral's name for it is "bacterial SSU rRNA". It matches the Rfam family "Bacterial small subunit ribosomal RNA", at positions 39 to 510 of the family's 1533-position model. The record is from RNAcentral. Lineage: Bacteria; Pseudomonadati; Pseudomonadota; Gammaproteobacteria; Methylococcales; Methylococcaceae.